RNAcentral lists this ribosomal RNA (576 nucleotides) under Hanseniaspora uvarum. RNAcentral describes it as "eukaryotic LSU rRNA". It matches the Rfam family "Eukaryotic large subunit ribosomal RNA", at positions 79 to 669 of the family's 3401-position model. The record is from RNAcentral. Lineage: Eukaryota; Fungi; Ascomycota; Saccharomycetes; Saccharomycodales; Saccharomycodaceae.
CUUAGUAACGGCGAGUGAAGCGGUAAAAGCUCAAAUUUGAAAUCUGGUACUUUCAGUGCCCGAGUUGUAAUUUGUAGAAUUUGUCUUUGAUUAGGUCCUUGUCUAUGUUCCUUGGAACAGGACGUCAUAGAGGGUGAGAAUCCCGUUUGGCGAGGAUACCUUUUCUCUGUAAGACUUUUUCGAAGAGUCGAGUUGUUUGGGAAUGCAGCUCAAAGUGGGUGGUAAAUUCCAUCUAAAGCUAAAUAUUGGCGAGAGACCGAUAGCGAACAAGUACAGUGAUGGAAAGAUGAAAAGAACUUUGAAAAGAGAGUGAAAAAGUACGUGAAAUUGUUGAAAGGGAAGGGCAUUUGAUCAGACAUGGUGUUUUUUGCAUGCACUCGCCUCUCGUGGGCUUGGGCCUCUCAAAAAUUUCACUGGGCCAACAUCAAUUCUGGCAGCAGGAUAAAUCAUUAAGAAUGUAGCUACUUCGGUAGUGUUAUAGCUUUUUGGAAUACUGUUAGCCGGGAUUGAGGACUGCGCUUCGGCAAGGAUGUUGGCAUAAUGGUUAAAUGCCGCCCGUCUUGAAACACGGACCAA